UGAGUAACGCGUAGGAACCUGCCCUGGUGUGGGGGACAAGCCACCGAAAGGUGGUCUAAUACCGCAUACGGUCCCUGGCGCAAGUCAGGAAGAAAGCCUUCGGGUGCACCAGGAGGGGCCUGCGUCCGAUUAGCUAGUUGGUGGGGUAACGGCCUACCAAGGCGAUGAUCGGUAGCUGGUCUGAGAGGAUGAUCAGCCAGACUGGGACUGGGACACGGCCCAGACUCCUACGGGAGGCAGCAGUUAGGAAUUUUGGGCAAUGGCCGCAAGGCUGACCCAGCAACGCCGCGUGGGGGACGAAGGCCUUCGGGUUGUAAACCCCUUUUCUCGGGGACGAUGAUGACGGUACCCGAGGAAGAAGCCCCGGAUAACUACGUGCCAGCCGCCGCGG
RNAcentral lists this ribosomal RNA (391 nucleotides) under uncultured bacterium. RNAcentral's name for it is "bacterial SSU rRNA". It matches the Rfam family "Bacterial small subunit ribosomal RNA", at positions 107 to 520 of the family's 1533-position model. The record is from RNAcentral.